GCGGCGUCGGGAUCAGGCUCCAGUUCCCCCUACCCCACAUUGUUGUUGUUGUUGCUGCUGCUCCAGUUCCAAUUCCAGCGAGUGCCAGCGAUGGGGAUGCUCGGAUCGCAGUCCCUGCUCUCAUUUUCCUCCAGCCUCUGGUAACCCUCCUCCUCACCCGCUUCGCCUAAGCGGGAUUCAUAGGGAGCAUCAGCUACGUCUUAUGUGGGGAUGAACCGAGUGAUAGGAAAAUAUUUUUUUGAAUGCAAUGGGAAGGCGAAAAACGACACGCCUUGGUGAAGCAACUCUGAGAUUCGGAAACAAGGACUCCUAUUUGUCUGUAGAGCAUGUGGAGCUGUUGGGCAAGCAGAGUUCUAUCUGGGUAUUCAGGUAGCUGAGGAUAACAGGGAAAAGGAAAAUCUCCAGGCUAUCAUGCAUACCAUGCACCUCUAAGGCUCGUGCUGUGAGCGUACUUUGGGGGAGGAGUACCACCCAUGGAUUGAUCCUUCGCUGGCAGGGCCGGGGCCAGGCCGGCGGUCAUGUCUUUCGGGUUGGCGGCGAGGGAGGAGCAGCAAGGCAAGCUCACGUUACCCAAGUAGCAGGCCUCUUGUGUCCUGAGUCCUGAUGCCACGGGUAGCUGGAGCUGAUGUUGCCCUUGGUUUAUGCACGA
This is a long non-coding RNA of Triticum dicoccoides, 649 nucleotides long. RefSeq lists it as uncharacterized. NCBI's taxonomy places the organism in Eukaryota, Viridiplantae, Streptophyta, Magnoliopsida, Poales, Poaceae. The transcript is spliced from 4 exons. The record is from RefSeq and is a predicted model, not a curated record.